UACGUAGGGUGCGAGCGUUAAUCGGAUUUACUGGGCGUAAAGCGUGCGCAGGCGGCCCGUUAAGACAGGUGUGAAAUCCCUGGGCUCAACCUAGGAAUUGCGCUUGUGACUGGCGGGCUCGAGUACGGUAGAGGGGGGAGGAAUUCCUGGUGUAGCAGUGAAAUGCGUAGAGAUCAGGAGGAACACCGAUGGCGAAGGCAGCCCCCUGGGCCUGUACUGACGCUCAUGCACGAAAGCGUGGGGAGCAAACAGG
RNAcentral lists this ribosomal RNA (253 nucleotides) under uncultured microorganism. RNAcentral describes it as "partial 16S ribosomal RNA". It matches the Rfam family "Bacterial small subunit ribosomal RNA", at positions 524 to 776 of the family's 1533-position model. The record is from RNAcentral.